Homo sapiens (human) is the source of this 5066-nucleotide RNA transcript. It is a transcript of the gene named arginine-glutamic acid dipeptide repeats pseudogene 1 Y-linked, with no coding region annotated. Lineage: Eukaryota; Metazoa; Chordata; Mammalia; Primates; Hominidae. The transcript has 3 exons. The record is from RefSeq and is a predicted model, not a curated record.
AUCUGGGAGGACUUAGGGAAACCUGACUUCCUCAGACUGCUUCCUUCUUAUAAACUCUUGGUUCCUUAUUUAUCGUUUUUUUGUUUUUGAUUUUUAAGUUGUCUGACCUGAUUUUAUCAUAGUAGUUCCAAAUGCCUUACAGCCCAGUGGAGUCAAGCUAAGGAAGGACAGCAUGAUUUCCACAGGAUUUGUAUUUCUUCCCUCUGGAUAAAGUGAUAGUAGAUCCCAGACUCACUGCCAGCAGGAUCCAAGGUGGUCUUUCCUCCAGUAUUUAAUCUGGUGUCAUCAGGAACCUACACUCAGGUUUUAUUGGAGAGCAAGCCUCAAUAAGAAGUGUGCUUUGAGGAGAAUCAAGGACUUAAUCUAGGCAUAAAAGGUGUUGCUCAGCACAAUACCCUCUACGAGACUGUGUGUAUAUCGCGAGUCGGAGGCCAAACACACCGUAUUUCAUCUGUAGCAUUCAAGACUUCAAACUGGUCCACAACUCCCAAGCCUGUUGCAGAUCUCCAACUCCUGCUUUGUGUGACCCCCGCAGCAUGCUCUCUGCCGGUGGCAUCACAGUCACCACAGCAUCUUUCUGAAGCUAGGAGAGGGCCUGUAGGGGUAAGGAGAAUCCCGUUUUUAAAAGCUAUCAGUAUUUUAUAUCCCAUAGGGUAUAAAAUAGGAAUAUUAUGUCCCUCCCCAGAGCCCCUUUUUAAAAUGUGCUGUAUUAUAUGUGUUUUUAAAGGAGUAACAAGUACAUGCACAGAGGAAGCAAAAUACGGGACUUGCCUUACCCCUCUAGGACAGUUCCAGAAGUUAGCGGGGUUUGGUGGAAGGGUAUUUUGGCACCAGCAGAGAGCAUGCUGGGCUGCUGCAAGGAGCAGGAGCUGGCAAUCAACAGCGAGUUUGGAUGUUGGCAACUGAAAUGGGGAGAAAAGGGGGUAAGUUUGAGUUCAAGUGUGGAAUGUGAAUUUCCCCAGGCUCAUUGGGACUCAUGACCCACAAAUCUAAACUAUUUUGGGUGUUGUCCUCUCGGGUGACAUUUUGUAGGGUGUUGCUCAGAAAUAGCGAGGCUUUUCUCCAGUGCUAGAUGCAGAAUACGCACUUCAAGAGGCUUGGGUCGGGCUGUAGCUAUACUUCUUAAGAGCUAUCCCUUGGUUAUUCCUCUGUUACUAGUGGUGGUCCUGAGGGAUGUGUAAGAGGCAGCAGGAUGAAGUAUCUGUAGUGCUUUAUCCCUUAAAGCACAGGAACCCAUGUGGGUGAUCAUAGGGGUUAUUAUUGUGUAGUGCAUCUCCCUUUUUAGGAAAGUUCACACUUGUCUUCCUUUUUUUUCCUGUAAUCGUAGGACUUAAUGGAGGACUUAAUGGUAAUGUUUUCUGAAAGUCGAGUAUUUAUUAUUCCGAAUGACUACUGGGUUAACAUGAAAGAAGUGUAGUUUUAGUUAAGCAUUGAAGUCAGUGUGAAGAAGUGACUGUGGCUCCCCAGUUCAUACUGAAUUAGCAAAUAAUACAAGAGGAUAGCAAGCUCUCUCACACUUAGACACACACAAUGCAGCAUACUGUCAAUAUACAGUGAAUUGUUCAGUUGCAGUGCAGAAUAUUAAUAUCUUGGGGUGAAGAAAAGAAAGUGCUCCAGAUGGGAUGUGGCACUUGGGGAAGUUCUGUGAAGGUGGGUAGGUUUUGAGGAGCUGGGUAUGUUUUUCACACAUCAAUAAGAAGUGGAUAGGCAGAGUAUAGGAGCCUUGCAGGUGUACCUGGCAGCCUGUCCUUAUAAGCAACACAGGCAGUGAGGCUGACGAGUCUGGGAGUUGUGAGAAGAUGACCCGCAGGACGUCACUGAAGAGCAUGGGUUAGUGGAUUUUGGGAGGCAGAUGUGGAGAUAUAAAAUGGGGCUAGAUUAUAGAGAAUCUUCAAAGUUAGCAAAGUUAAGAUUUUGUGUAAUAGGCAGUAGAGAGCUUGUGUAAGCUUUUUUAUUCGAGAUGAGCCAUCUUGCAGACCACUGCUUAAGAAGACUGACUGUGGCAGUUUGCAGUGUGGAAGGGGGAAAGAUGGUGAAAGCUCCAAGUAGGAGGCUAGGGCUGCCAUUCGUGGGUAAGAUGAAGAGGACCAAGACAGUAGAGAUGAUAUAUAGAUAAUUGUAACCAAAUCAGGAGUAAUUGUUGGAACAGCAUAACACAUUUACAUAUUUGCUGAUGUAAUUACUCAAGGGUCAUAUCAUAAAAAGGGGUGGGGGUUUCACAUUAUGGAAACCUUGGAAUUCUCUGUCUUACGGUGGAAGACAGAACCCAGUGUAGUGUAGACAAAAGUCUAAUUUUAAUUCCCAGAGAAAGACUGAUAUCUUAUGGGACAAAUUAGUAUAUUCCCAUUCCUAAUAAUGGUGUACCUAGCUGGUGGGUAAUUGCAGGCUUUCAACCUCCAGUUCAUCUUCAUGAGAUCAAUGUUGAUUCAGAACAAUAAGUGUCAGGUCUAUGACACCUUUAAAGUUAUGCUUAAAUGUGAGUCUGUGACCACUAAUGAAUGACUACAGUUGUUUCAUGACUUGCUAAACAUACCUGGUUUUUCACAAGCAAUAGAUUUUUGAAGGAGAGGUAUUCACAGUGGGUGCUAGGAAGAUACACACAUUAAUUCUGUAGAAUUUAGCUAAAAUGUGUUCAGCCUAAGGGAUGACAUUAACAGAGACUUGUGAUCCUGCUUUGCAUCUCAUGAGUGCUGAGCAGUUGGUAGAGAUGGAUGGUAUUUUCCAUAUAUCAGCAUCUGCUGUAUGCUCAGGCUUUGCUCCUGUUAAGGGAACUAGGGCUCUCUAGCCUUUUCAGAGAUUCUGUGAGAUUAUGUACUUUAUUAUUAUUAUUUUGUCUAAUCUAAUCAGACUAGAUUCUUGUAUUUCGAACUAAGAACUCAGAAUAUAUCCAUGACCUUUGGUUAAAAAGCUUAAAGGGAAAGUAAACUUCAUUUAUUCGUUGAACAAUUUAUUUAGUAUUUCUUAUUUAUUAGUGUUCUGUCUCCUGAAUAAAUAACUCAUUUUAAGUGUUUAUUGAGCACCAAUUGCACAUAAACUAUUGUAUUAGUUUUGUGGGAGAAAAAAAUAAAUAAACUAAAUAUCCCUCCCUCAAGGAAUGUUUGUAAAGUUGAUUAACUAUGCUAGAAAAUAGAAAGUGAAUGGUGCUAUGAGAUACAGAGGUAUAGUAGUAGUAUGAAGGUUGAAUGGAGAAAGAGAUUAAAUACAGCAGAAGACAAUUAUUUCUAUCAGAGAAGAGAUGACAUAGGAGAUGAAGAAGAAAGAUUUAAAAUGAUUUUUACAGAAAGAUGAAGAGAUACAUAACUCUUGAGUAGAGAAGGCAAGAAGAAGAGAAACUGUAUGGACAGUAUGAGCUAAAUGUGAAAACAGAAUUUUUUUUGGCUGGGUGCGGUGGCUCAUGCCUGUAAUCCUAGCACUUUGGGAGGCCGAGGCAGGUGGAUCACCUGAGGUCAGGAGUUUGAGAAAAGCAUGGCCAAAAUGGGGAAACCCCAUCUCUACUACAAAUAGAAAAAUUAGCCGGGUGUGGUGGCACAUGCCUGUAAUCCCAACUACUCGGGAGGCUGAGGCAGGAGAGUUGCUUGAACCUGGGAGGUGGAGGUUGUGGUGAGCCGAGAUUGUACCAGUGCACUCCAGCCUGCACCAUGGGAUCGAAACUCCAUUUAAAAAAAAAAAUCUGUGCACAAAGAAAUGGGCAAUGCAUUGACUCGGUGCAAAAUAUCAUAGAUGAGGUAGUGAACAUGUUUAGGAAUAUAUUCACAUUUUCAAGAAGACAGCUAGUUUCCCUAUUGAAAUCCCUGGCAUACAGGAGCAAACAGCAUGAAAUAAAGAAAAGUUCUAUGUUUUUAGAAAUAGGUAUCCAACUAAUACACAUAAAAAUUGUCUUUAUGGAGUAAAAUGCAUAUUUAAUCAAUCUAAUCAAACACAACCUCAGCUAAAUUCUUCUCUAAGAUAUAGACACACCUGCUAAGCAAAAGGGAUAAGAUAUCUUGUCUCUAGGAAACAACAGAAGUUAAUUAGCUUCAAAAAUACUUUAUAUUUGCAAUUAAAAAUAAUUUUAAAUCCACAGUAGCUAUGGUUCUCAUUAGAACAUAGAAUAUUGUGAUGCCUUGGACUAUUUUAUUAAAAAUGGCUAUAUUUGGUCCUUAUCUCAAACUUUGUGUUCAGGUAUAUAGCUGAUUAAUAAUGUAGUUUAUUAAGAAAUAUUUUUUGCAUAUUACUGUGAAAUCAUAGUGUAUGAAAUGGACUAAUAAAGCCUAUAAUGACCAGGAAAAUAUUACUUACUGCAAAGAUAAUAUAAAGUUCAGUUCUUUUAUCUAUAGUUUUAUUGUUAAGUUACAUAUAUAGAUAAAUGAUAGACAGACAUCAACACACACAUGACUGUUUACAAAUUACGGAGGUUACAAAUCUAAAACACGUGAUUUUUAUCUCAAAAUAAUAAAGAUUAAAAUGUUAGCAAUGUUCAUCCAUUGGUCAAAACUUUGCAUUCUUGUCUUGGAUUCUUGCUUAUAUUCAUCAAUUUUAAUCUGGAUCUAAACACUUAAAUAAAUGAAAAUAACAUAUUAAAUAAAUUUGUUUAUGCACUGCACUUCAUUUCUAACGAUUUCUCAUGAGAUAGUGGAAUGCAUGAUGACAUAUAAUUUAUGAUAUUGUUCUAGUGUUUCCAUGCCCAAAUUAAAGUCAAUAAAAUUUUAUAAUAGAAAUACCCAAAAUGAAGAAUGAUGAUGAAUUGAGCACUGAUAUUAAAAAGAUUAAAAAUGGUGCAACUUUUUAUAAGCAAAUUAGAUCUAUGUUUUAAGAACUUUAUAUGAAGUCUUACAUGUAUCUGCAUUAUACUCAGAGGUAUAAAUAAAUCGUUAACUUCUUUAUUAUGUCUUCAAGUUACCUGAUGUUCCUCCUGAGCAUCUCGAACCUCAAGAUAGGGAAAAAUUGUAUUCAAUAAAUCAAGUAAAUACAUAACAAUGACUGUGUAUUAACAAAAAAUUAAAAAUAAAAAAGAAAUCAAGUUGUCUUAGUUCAAUGCAAUAACAAAAAUAGUCACUUAAGCACAACACUCAAAUGCUGAGUUUUCU